Molecule: ribosomal RNA, 423 nt
Filed under: uncultured bacterium
Lineage: Bacteria
Description: bacterial SSU rRNA
Rfam family: Bacterial small subunit ribosomal RNA
Source: RNAcentral
GACGAACGCUGGCGGCGUGCCUAACACAUGCAAGUCGAGCGGGGAUGUGGAUGAGCUUGCUCUGAUACAUUCUAGCGGCGGACGGGUGAGUAACGCGUGAGCAACCUGCCUCAAACAGGGGGAUAACGCAUCGAAAGAUGUGCUAAUACCGCGUAAGACCACGGAGUCACAUGGCUCAGGGGUCAAAGGAGCAAUCCGGUUUGAGAUGGGCUCGCGUCCGAUUAGCUAGUUGGUGAGAUAACAGCCCACCAAGGCGACGAUCGGUAGCCGACCUGAGAGGGUGAUCGGCGCAUUGGAACUGAGAUACGGGUCCAGGACUCCUACGGGAGGCAGCAGUGGGGAAUAUUGGGCAAUGGGCGAAAGCCUGACCCAGCAACGCCGCGUGAGGGAAGAAGGGUUUCGGCUCGUAAACCUCUGUCCUAU